UACGGAGGGUGCAAGCGUUAAUCGGAAUUACUGGGCGUAAAGGGAAUGUAGGUGGUGUCGUAAGUCAGAUGUGAAAGCCCUGGGCUCAACCUGGGAAGUGCAUUUGAUACUGCGGCGCUAGAGUGCGAGAGAGGAAAGGGGAAUUUCCGGUGUAGGGGUGAAAUCCGUAGAUAUCGGAAGGAAUACCGAUGGCGAAGGCACCUUUCUGGCUCGUAACUGACACUGAGAUUCGAAAGCAUGGGUAGCAAACAGG
Molecule: unclassified non-coding RNA, 253 nt
Filed under: uncultured Pseudobdellovibrionaceae bacterium
Lineage: Bacteria; Pseudomonadati; Bdellovibrionota; Bdellovibrionia; Bdellovibrionales; Pseudobdellovibrionaceae
Description: uncultured Bdellovibrionaceae bacterium contains 16S-23S intergenic spacer region
Rfam family: Bacterial small subunit ribosomal RNA
Source: RNAcentral